UCUCUCUCUCUCUCUCUCGACGCCUCUCUGUUUUCUAUCGAAAAGGCAUGGCACUUUCCCUCUCAUCCAAAACCAAAACCUACCUAACCACCUUUAUGGCGAGAUCAAUCCCCCGCUUCUUAGCCCUGCGCGCCCAUUCUAAUACUCCUUCCCACCCCAACCACACCGACAUCUCAGAUGACUCCUCCUCCACCGACUCUUUGCUACGGAAACUCGAGGAUGCCAUCCACCGGAUCAUCGUGCGCCGCGCUGCACCUGAUUGGCUCCCUUUCCUCCCUGGUUCCUCCUAUUGGGUCCCACCUCCUAGAUCCAUCGCCGGAUCCCUAGGGAUUGCUCACUUAGUUGAGAAGCCUGCCAAUCCCUUGACCGAUGAGGAGUCCCUCUCCAUGACCACCCUCAGAGGUUGGCCUUCCUCCGAUUAUUUUAUUAAAGGUAAUUGAUUGCUUUUUUCUGUUACGAUUUGGAAGAUUUUUUUGUAAUUGGGAUUGUUUUCAAAUGCUUGGAUUUUGGAUGCCUUCUUCAUAAAUUGGUGUUCUCUAUAGAAAAAUUCUGUUUGAUUUUGAUAGUUAUGAAUGUUGUUUGGUUGUUAUUAGCUGGCUUUCUGGGAGGGUUUCCUUUGUAAUUAGAGAUUAGUUCUCUUUAGUGGUUCAUGAAUAUCCCCAACAUGGACUGAUCGCUCUCUGCUCCUAGCCGAUAAAUGCACUAGUGUUUACCCUUGUAAAAAAAUCAUAUAUUGCUGAAGCUUUGGAAAUAUAAGUAAGUAGGAGGACUAGAUAAGGUAAAUUGAUGUUAAGAAUUCAGCUUGAUUUUAUAAAUAUAGUUACACCUUUGGAACUUCAUUUUCUUAAUGGUUGUAAAAUUGAUACAUCCUGCAACUGUUUCCCUUGGUCCUUUGAAAUAAUAUCUUAUCUGGAAUACAAUGUUUAUUACAGCUUUUCCUUCCCCCCUCCGAUCUGUUAUAGGUGCACCUCCACAUUCAAUGGAGGUGAAUAUGACUUCAAACAAAACAGCAGAGGCGGAGGCAACUUCCAAUAAUGCAUCUAAAUCUGAAGAUGACGAAGGAUGAAUUAUGCUUGUAAAAGAACUAGCAUCUGGGUGAGUGAGCUUUUUCCUUGUCUAUGCAUAUAUUGGUUACUUCUAUUUUUGUUUUUCACAUUGAUAGUGCUAGUAGUAUCUGCUAAAAUAUGUUGCUGACAAGCAAUAUCUAGCAUGCCAUUUGGUGAAUAUUAAGCUGUCCAUUUUAGUUUGGGGUUGGAAAGCUGGUGCUUCCUUCUUCAGACAUUUUCUUGGGAAGAUGUAAGAUUUGCGAGAUAAUUGUAUAUGUCAGCAUGCUAAUUUAUGUUGUUGAAUUGUUUUACUGAAAUCAUGCAAUCGAUGAAGUCUAAACCUGGAUUCUAUAAUAAAAUAACACAAAUUGAAAGAGGCAUUUUUUAACCUGAAAAAAUUUAAAUUGAAAUUGUUAAUUAUUUAAAAUAGUUAUAACUGAACAAAAAAGUGCCUCUGGAUAAGGGAAACGUUUGUAAAUGAUGACAACAUUCUCAUAUUCUUAAAAAGUAGAAAAGAUAUGGGAAGCUGGGUCAUGAUGUCACCUAACAGCAGUACCAGGUUAGGGGAGAAAAGAAAAAGAAGAAACUACAAGUGGGUACAGGCUAGAGACGUCUUAAGAUUACCAAGUUGAUCUGAUAUGACUUCUUUUCAUGGAACUAUGAUGCUUGGGCAUAAAGGCUAACAGAUUGAUGCAUUAUUUACGUACAUGAUUUAUCUUUUGCCUUGUAGACUUGGCUAAACUUUGCCUUGAAAAACUCUUUAAAUCUUUCAAUUGACUCUCUUAUUGCAAUGUGCCAGGCUCAUCUAGACGUGUACAUUUUACGUAGAAGCAAAGGUUCAAUAGAUGUGGAAAUUUUACAAACCGCAUGGCAAUUUGGUCAAUUGCUGGGAGCUGGACGGAUGCAACCUGGUGAUGCAGCAAUUAUUUUCAGAGAUCAUUGCUACCUCGAAGCAUGAAUUACCGGUUUUUGUUGAAACGCACGUUGUAUUUAUUGGUAGCCCUUCAGCUUUCUGAAUAUUUUCUUUUCUCAUGGUCGUUCAGAUCAUUAGUUUUCCUUGUACAUAUGCUUGCAAGAAUAAUAGCAAUGGUGUUUCUGUUCUCUACCUGCCCCGCUACAGCAUGAACCCCUCUCCCCUAUUACCCAUUGCCCUCGCUUUUCCCUAAAGAUAAGAAAAUGCCCAAGGAGAUAUAUUGGGCAUGUAAAUCGGUAUUUGAUGAGAUGAUUAAAAAAUAAAUCCAAUUCAAUUUGUGCGCUACUGGCUUCAACCAAACCCAGCCAAAAGAAUGUCAAUACACAUGAAUAUAUCGAGUCACGGUUAAUUUCUCCUCCUGCUAGGCCUCACGCAUUGAAAAAUGAAAACGAGCACGAGGGCGACGGUUCUACACGCAGAAAAACAAAAUAUUUUAGGUCUCACGAACAAAAAGGUAUGGAUAAUUUUCUCGUAAGAAAACAAAUGUUAAACAAGUAUUUCUCUAUGGUGCUGUUUCUUAAUACACAACGACUGAAAUACAGGUAUAGGAAUUCCUAAAGAUAAACAACACUUCCGGCUAUGUAGUUUGAAAUUGGAAGAUGCCCAUGAUUCUCCAUGUACAAGUGAAGGCAAGGACAAACUUUCCAGCAUCGAUUUGCUCAGUGUCCAAAUGUCAUGUCCAAACAUAAAACCAAUCACAUGAAGGCAAUACCUCAUGUAAAUUGUUAAGAACCAAAUUUAGUUGCUCCAUGAUGCACAAAUUCAUGUAGACUAUCCAAAAAAGACUCCAUCCAAAGGAAUGCAAGACUGAGAUUAUAACACCGCAGAGAAUUCCGAAUUAAUAAAGGCCCAACAUUCUUAGCUCUGUAACAUGGCUGGCAUCAAGUUCAGGUACAUUUUUGCUAGCUUCUCGGUCUUCUACCACAUAUUCCUGACAUAAUUACAGCACCAAAGUGAAGAUGCUUCAAUAUAAAAGAACUAGAACACUUAGAAAACCAAUCAGAGAUACAAAGAAGCAAGAAAAUUUGAACCAUCCUUCCAUGUCAUUUAAGCAACAUGAAUGUUUCACGAAGUUCUUUAGUUAAGCUUGAAAAUAUUCAUUACCUCAUUGCAAUAUUAGUAUACAAAAAACUUUACAUAUACGUUGAAAUAUAUAUAAAGUUGGAGCUUAAAGCGGGGGUUUGCUCUUCUAAAAGCAGACCUUUUGAAUAAACUCAUAUUAAAGUAGAGCUACUCCCAAUUUUUCAAAUCCAGAGUUUAGGGUUGCCAAAUAGAAAGACAACAAAGAUCAGAUUCCAAUUUCAUGAAAAUUUUUAUAAAAUUGGUGAUAUAAUACAGAAUUGAAUUUUAAUUAUUACUCUGAAUCAGCAUCAUUAUAUAUCAUUUUAGAAACUCCAAUAAACUUUAAGAACUAAAAUACCAGACCUUCGUUAGUUCUUGUUUGGCAAGAACGUGGUAAUGGCGUUCACUGAUCCUUUGUCCACAUAUAAUGGCAAUGAAGAAACCAUAGAGCAAACCCACCAAAACAAUAGCUAAAACAGCCAUAGUAUAAAACCCAUAAGGAUGUUCUUCAUAGCCAAACAUUUCCCUGAGCUCCUCCCCAUAAAACUUGUAGACAAGCAUCCCCAAUAGUGCAACAAUCAGCUGAACAACUACAAAAAUGAAUGCGUGGUCCCUGGCAACAAGGAACUGAAAUUUCAAUCUCAACCACCAGCGGUCAGGUGGGACAUUGGCACGUAACACAAACAAUGCCCUGCACUCUGUGCAAUGAGCAAAAGCAAAGCCCUCCUUGGUUGACCUCCAGUUGUCAAGGCACGACCUAUGCACAUACUUCUGAGUGCCUUUGCAAUGGCAUGGUGCAAUUAGGUCUUCUCCUGCAGUAUCAAGGCAAAUACGGCAUUGAGGUUGAUCUGGAUUCACUAGAUGGCAGGUUUCAUCGAUGCUAAGACUUUGUAAAUCAUCGCCAUCGCAAUCCCGUGCUAUAGAUAUAAUUUCACAUGAAGAUGAUGAUUCUUCAGAUCGUCUUGAAAUGGUAGACUGGCAUAAGAUGGGUUCACUUUCUGAAACAUCUUCCUUGUGACUAUCAUUUGAUACUAAUUGCAUUGCGAAUAAUAUUGAAUCAGCAUUAAACUGUCAACUCCAUCGCAAGGCCUAUAUUUCCUACUGCACAUUUCAAUAGAAAUCAGGCAACCUGAUAUUUACCAAAAAUGGAGGAUCUUCAUGAUAUUUAAACAAUAUCCGAAUUCGUUUCCAAGGAAUUCAGAAAAAAAUCUAAAUCUGGCGCGAUUUCAAUGGAAUUGAAAGGUUUGAAGUUUCGCGUCAAUGGCAAUGAAAGAGAGAGAGAAGGAAACACAAGAGAGAGCGCUAAUCGAUAGAAACACAGAAGACAGACAGACGUACCUCAACCUUGAAUUGACCAAUAUU
RNAcentral lists this unclassified non-coding RNA (4443 nucleotides) under Hevea brasiliensis (rubber tree). The record is from RNAcentral. Lineage: Eukaryota; Viridiplantae; Streptophyta; Magnoliopsida; Malpighiales; Euphorbiaceae.